GGAGGAAUAUUGGUCAAUGGACGCAAGUCUGAACCAGCCAAGUAGCGUGCAGGAUGACGGCCCUAUGGGUUGUAAACUGCUUGUAUGCGGGGAUAAAGUCACCCACGUGUGGGUGUUUGCAGGUACCGCAUGAAUAAGGACCGGCUAAUUUCGGGCCAGCAGCCGCGGUAAUACGGAAGGUCCGGGCGUUAUCCGGAUGUAUUGGGUUGAAAGGGAGUGUAGGCGGCCUGUUAAGCGUGUUGUGAAAUGUAGAUGAUCAACAUCUGAACUGCAGCGCGAACUGGCUGGCUUGAGUACACGCAACGUGGGCGGAAUUCAUGGUGUAGCGGUAAAAUGCUUAGAUAUCAUGAGGAACUCCUAUUGCGAAGGCAGCUCACGGGAGUGUCACUGACGCUUAAGCUCGAAGGUGCGGGUAUCAAACAGG
Molecule: ribosomal RNA, 424 nt
Filed under: Verrucomicrobiota bacterium
Lineage: Bacteria; Pseudomonadati; Verrucomicrobiota
Description: Verrucomicrobia bacterium partial 16S ribosomal RNA
Rfam family: Bacterial small subunit ribosomal RNA
Source: RNAcentral